Long non-coding RNA from Astatotilapia calliptera (eastern happy), 1197 nucleotides. Lineage: Eukaryota; Metazoa; Chordata; Actinopteri; Cichliformes; Cichlidae. The record is from Ensembl.
UAAGUCUGCACUUUUCCAUAUAUACUGAGCCAAAGGCUCGAUAUACAGAGCAAAAAGGGCUGGACUCAGGCAGCAACCCUGCCUGGUUCCUCUGAAGAGCUCAAAACUGUCUGUCAGGUCCCCAUUUAUUUUCACUCUAGCCAAUGGCCUGUGGUACAAGGAUUGUAUACACUCGAUGAAGAUACUGUUAAAGCCCAUUCUUUUCAAAACAGCAAAAAGAAAUAUCCAAGAGACUCUAUCAAAGGCCUUUUCAGCAUCUAAGCUCACUAAGGCUGUUGGGAUUUUCUCUUUAUUAACUUCGUUAAUUAUAUGCAAUGUGCGUCGUAUAUUAUCUUGUGUCUGUCACCCCUUAAUGAACCCUGUCUGGUCUUCAUCCACCAUCUGGGAGAAACAGCUCUAAGCGUCUUGUGAUUAUGGAUGUAAAUAAUUUAUAAUCCACAUUUAAGAUAGAGAUUGGGCGAUAAGAGUCACAGUUUUCCUUGUUUUUACCUUCUUUUGGUAAAAAAUUAUUGUUUUAAAUGUAAUUCUACUUAUCAUUUUAUACUAUUUUAUUUUUUUGCUAUUUGUGCUAAUUAGAUUAUUUUAAAUGUCAUUUUAAUUAUCAUCUUAUUUUAUUUACUUUUUUAUCUUUAUUUUAUUUUUAUUUUUUAACUUAUUCAAUGUGUCAUUUCUGGCAUGCCAAGUGUACAGCACUCUGUUCAGCUGGGAGUUGUUCUGAAAGUGCUACAUAAAUAAAAUGCUUGCUUGCUAAAAACUGGCGCACACAUUUAUUUAAUAAAUAACAUUGUCACAUGCAAAGCUAGCCCAGCCAACACGCACAUGUGGGGCCCGAAUGGGGAGUAGCAGAGCUCAUAUUUAUGGUCUACUUGGGUUACCCACCUGGGACGCAGCCAUUUUUGUCCUCAGUCUGAGGACCCCAAAAGAACCCCCCCCCCCCCCCCCCCCCCCAAGAAAAACCCCAAGUUUUUCACACCAUCAGUAUAGAAUUUCAUGAGCUUCCUCAUGAGUUCAACUUGGUUUAGACUACAAACACCAAAUCUUGCAUUUCAGUUUUAUCAGAGGUACCCAUUCUCCAAGAUUUAAAACAGCCUAAAGUGAUACAAGUAAGCUAGAAUUGAACUCACCUGUACAACAAAGUCAGUUUAUCUUUGUAUUGAGACUGAUUCAUACACAAUUUUGAAACGCUGUGCUUCUUUG